This 346-nucleotide ribosomal RNA is filed under the name uncultured bacterium. RNAcentral's name for it is "bacterial SSU rRNA". It matches the Rfam family "Bacterial small subunit ribosomal RNA", at positions 8 to 350 of the family's 1533-position model. The record is from RNAcentral.
AGAGUUUGAUCCUGGCUCAGGACGGACGCUGGCGGCGCGCCUAACACAUGCAAGUCGAACGAGAGAUGAGGAGCUUGCUCUUCAAAUCGAGUGGCGAACGGGUGAGUAACGCGUGAGGAACCUGCCUCAAAGAGGGGGACAACAGUUGGAAACGACUGCUAAUACCGCAUAAGCCCACAGCUCGGCAUCGAGCAGAGGGAAAAGGAGUGAUCCGCUUUGAGAUGGCCUCGCGUCCGAUUAGCUAGUUGGUGAGGUAACGGCCACCAAGGCGACGAUCGGUAGCCGGACUGAGAGGUUGAACGGCCACAUUGGGACUGAGACACGGCCCAGACUCCUACGGGAGGCA